RNAcentral lists this ribosomal RNA (382 nucleotides) under uncultured eukaryote. Its description in RNAcentral is "partial 18S ribosomal RNA". It matches the Rfam family "Eukaryotic small subunit ribosomal RNA", at positions 592 to 976 of the family's 1831-position model. The record is from RNAcentral.
CAAUAGCGUAUAUUAAAGUUGUUGCAGUUAAAAAGCUCGUAGUUGGAUUUCUGGUUGAAGCGACCGGUCGGGCGUUGAUUCGUCUGCACUGGAGUCGGUUUUGGCCAUCCUCUAGGAAAGUGCGUCUGGUAUUAAGUUAUCGGGCGUAUGAUCCUGGUCUUUUACUGUGAAAAAAUUAGAGUGUUUAAAGCAGGCCUUCGCCUUGAAUACAUUAGCAUGGAAUAAUAAGAUAGGACUUUGGUCUAUUUUGUUGGUUUGCAGACCGAAGUAAUGAUUAAUAGGGAUAGUUGGGGGUAUUUAUAUUCCGAUGUCAGAGGUGAAAUUCUUAGAUUUUCGGAAGAUAAACUUAUGCGAAAGCAUUUACCAAGGAUAUUUUCAUUAA